UACGUAGGGGGCAAGCGUUGUCCGGAUUUAUUGGGCGUAAAGAGCUCGUAGGCGGCCUGUCGCGUCUGCUGUGAAAUCCCGGGGCUCAACCCCGGGCCUGCAGUGGAUACGGGCUGGCUGGAGGCAGGCAGGGGAGAACGGAAUUCCUGGUGUAGCGGUGAAAUGCGCAGAUAUCAGGAGGAACACCGGUGGCGAAGGCGGUUCUCUGGGCCUGUUCUGACGCUGAGGAGCGAAAGCGUGGGGAGCGAACAGG
RNAcentral lists this ribosomal RNA (253 nucleotides) under uncultured bacterium. RNAcentral's name for it is "partial 16S ribosomal RNA". It matches the Rfam family "Bacterial small subunit ribosomal RNA", at positions 524 to 776 of the family's 1533-position model. The record is from RNAcentral.